Molecule: ribosomal RNA, 230 nt
Filed under: uncultured bacterium
Lineage: Bacteria
Description: partial 16S ribosomal RNA
Rfam family: Bacterial small subunit ribosomal RNA
Source: RNAcentral
AAGGGAGCGUAGGCGGCUGAUUAAGUCAGCGGUGAAAGGUAGCAGCUUAACUGUUUUACAUGCCGUUGAUACUGGUUAGCUUGAGUUGACAGAAGGCAGAUAGAAUUCCUGGUGUAGCGGUGAAAUGCUUAGAUACCAGGAGGAAUACCGAUUGCGAAGGUAGUCUGCUGCAGUCACACUGACGCUGAGGCUCGAAGGUGCGGGGAUCAAACAGGAUUAGAUACCCUAGU